RNAcentral lists this transfer RNA (66 nucleotides) under Leptopilina syphax. RNAcentral's name for it is "tRNA-Asp". The record is from RNAcentral. Lineage: Eukaryota; Metazoa; Arthropoda; Insecta; Hymenoptera; Figitidae.
UUAAAUUUAGUUAAAUUUUUAUAAUAUUAAUAUGUCAUAUUAAAGUUAUUUAUUGAAUAAUUUAAA